Molecule: ribosomal RNA, 1109 nt
Filed under: 'Pennisetum glaucum' green ear phytoplasma
Lineage: Bacteria; Bacillati; Mycoplasmatota; Mollicutes; Acholeplasmatales; Acholeplasmataceae
Description: bacterial SSU rRNA
Rfam family: Bacterial small subunit ribosomal RNA
Source: RNAcentral
UUUAAGGGGAAGGAGCUUGCGUCACAUUAGUUAGUUGGUGGGGUAAAGGCCUACCAAGACUAUGAUGUGUAGCCGGGCUGAGAGGUUGAACGGCCACAUUGGGACUGAGACACGGCCCAAACUCCUACGGGAGGCAGCAGUAGGGAAUUUUCGGCAAUGGAGGAAACUCUGACCGAGCAACGCCGCGUGAACGAUGAAGUAUUUCGGUACGUAAAGUUCUUUUAUUAGGGAAGAAUAAAUGAUGGAAAAAUCAUUCUGACGGUACCUAAUGAAUAAGCCCCGGCUAACUAUGUGCCAGCAGCCGCGGUAAUACAUAGGGGGCAAGCGUUAUCCGGAAUUAUUGGGCGUAAAGGGUGCGUAGGCGGUUAAAUAAGUUUAUGGUCUAAGUGCAAUGCUCAACAUUGUGAUGCUAUAAAAACUGUUUAGCUAGAGUAAGAUAGAGGCAAGUGGAAUUCCAUGUGUAGUGGUAAAAUGCGUAAAUAUAUGGAGGAACACCAGUAGCGAAGGCGGCUUGCUGGGUCUUUACUGACGCUGAGGCACGAAAGCGUGGGGAGCAAACAGGAUUAGAUACCCUGGUAGUCCACGCCGUAAACGAUGAGUACUAAACGUUGGGUAAAACCAGUGUUGAAGUUAACACAUUAAGUACUCCGCCUGAGUAGUACGUACGCAAGUAUGAAACUUAAAGGAAUUGACGGGACUCCGCACAAGCGGUGGAUCAUGUUGUUUAAUUCGAAGGUACCCGAAAAACCUCACCAGGUCUUGACAUGCUUCUGCAAAGCUGUAGAAACACAGUGGAGGUUAUCAGUUGCACAGGUGGUGCAUGGUUGUCGUCAGCUCGUGUCGUGAGAUGUUGGGUUAAGUCCCGCAACGAGCGCAACCCUUAUUGUUAGUUACCAGCACGUAAUGGUGGGGACUUUAGCAAGACUGCCAGUGAUAAAUUGGAGGAAGGUGGGGACGACGUCAAAUCAUCAUGCCCCUUAUGACCUGGGCUACAAACGUGAUACAAUGGCUGUUACAAAGGGUAGCUGAAGCGCAAGUUUUUGGCGAAUCUCAAAAAAACAGUCUCAGUUCGGAUUGAAGUCUGCAACUCGACUCAUGAAGGUGGGAAU